This 72-nucleotide transfer RNA is filed under the name Phrynosoma platyrhinos (Desert horned lizard). Its description in RNAcentral is "tRNA-OTHER". The record is from RNAcentral. Lineage: Eukaryota; Metazoa; Chordata; Lepidosauria; Squamata; Phrynosomatidae.
GACAGUGUGGUGUAGUGGUUUGAGUGCUGGACUACAACUCUGCAAACUAGGGUUCAAAUCCCUAUUUGGCCA